This 460-nucleotide ribosomal RNA is filed under the name uncultured bacterium. RNAcentral describes it as "partial 16S ribosomal RNA". It matches the Rfam family "Bacterial small subunit ribosomal RNA", at positions 338 to 795 of the family's 1533-position model. The record is from RNAcentral.
CCUACGGGAGGCAGCAGUGAGGAAUAUUGGUCAAUGGCCGGAAGGCUGAACCAGCCAAGCCGCGUGAAGGACGAAGGUGCCAAGCAUUGUAAACUUCUUUUGUCAAGGGACAAAAUCAGGCUCGAGAGCCUGACCGAGGGUACUUGAAGAAAAAGCAUCGGCUAACUCCGUGCCAGCAGCCGCGGUAAUACGGAGGAUUCAAGCGUUAUCCGGAUUUAUUGGGUUUAAAGGGUGCGUAGGCGGUCGGAUAAGUUAGAGGUGAAAUCCCGAGGCUCAACUUCGGAAUUGCCUCUGAUACUGUUCGGCUAGAGAGUAGUUGCGGUAGGCGGAAUGUAUGGUGUAGCGGUGAAAUGCUUAGAGAUCAUACAGAACACCGAUUGCGAAGGCAGCUUACCAAGCUACUUCUGACGUUGAGGCACGAAAGCGUGGGGAGCAAACAGGAUUAGAUACCCCAGUAGUC